This 301-nucleotide ribosomal RNA is filed under the name uncultured bacterium. Its description in RNAcentral is "partial 16S ribosomal RNA". It matches the Rfam family "Bacterial small subunit ribosomal RNA", at positions 509 to 809 of the family's 1533-position model. The record is from RNAcentral.
CAGUCGCCACGGUAAAACGAAGGGUGCAAGCGUUACUCGGAAUUACUGGGCGUAAAGCGUGCGUAGGUGGUGGUUUAAGUCCGUUGUGAAAGCCCUGGGCUCAACCUGGGAAUUGCAGUGGAUACUGGGUCACUAGAGUGUGGUAGAGGAUAGUGGAAUUUCCGGUGUAGCAGUGAAAUGCGUAGAGAUCGGAAGGAACAUCUGUGGCGAAGGCGACUAUCUGGGCCAACACUGACACUGAGGCACGAAAGCGUGGGGAGCAAACAGGAUUAGAUACCCGCGUAGUCCCUGUCUCUUAUAA